UACGGAGGGUGCAAGCGUUAUCCGGAUUCACUGGGUUUAAAGGGUGCGUAGGUGGGCAGGUAAGUCAGUGGUGAAAUCUCCGGGCUUAACCCGGAAACUGCCAUUGAUACUAUCUGUCUUGAAUACCGUGGAGGUGAGCGGAAUAUGUCAUGUAGCGGUGAAAUGCUUAGAUAUGACAUAGAACACCCAUUGCGAAGGCAGCUUGCUACACAAUGAUUGACGCUGAGGCACGAAAGCGUGGGGAUCAAACAGG
This 253-nucleotide ribosomal RNA is filed under the name uncultured bacterium. RNAcentral's name for it is "partial 16S ribosomal RNA". It matches the Rfam family "Bacterial small subunit ribosomal RNA", at positions 524 to 776 of the family's 1533-position model. The record is from RNAcentral.